Molecule: ribosomal RNA, 158 nt
Filed under: Neofusicoccum cordaticola
Lineage: Eukaryota; Fungi; Ascomycota; Dothideomycetes; Botryosphaeriales; Botryosphaeriaceae
Description: 5.8S ribosomal RNA
Rfam family: 5.8S ribosomal RNA
About the family: 5.8S ribosomal RNA (5.8S rRNA) is a component of the large subunit of the eukaryotic ribosome. It is transcribed by RNA polymerase I as part of the 45S precursor that also contains 18S and 28S rRNA. Functionally, it is thought that 5.8S rRNA may be involved in ribosome translocation.
Source: RNAcentral
AAACUUUCAACAACGGAUCUCUUGGUUCUGGCAUCGAUGAAGAACGCAGCGAAAUGCGAUAAGUAAUGUGAAUUGCAGAAUUCAGGGAAUCAUAGAAUCUUUGAACGCACAUUGCGCCCCUUGGUAUUCCGAGGGGCAUGCCUGUUCGAGCGUCAUUU